Molecule: small RNA, 68 nt
Filed under: Sinorhizobium meliloti 2011
Lineage: Bacteria; Pseudomonadati; Pseudomonadota; Alphaproteobacteria; Hyphomicrobiales; Rhizobiaceae
Description: putative ncRNA
Source: RNAcentral
AUCUCGGAGUCGGUCAGCGUCUGCCCCUUGAUGAUCCGCUGCCCGAUUAGUUGCACGAUCUCGGGGCU